ACGAACGCUGGCGGCGUGCCUAAUACAUGCAAGUCGAACGCUUCUUUCCUCCCGAGUGCUUGCACUCAAUUGGAAAGAGGAGUGGCGGACGGGUGAGUAACACGUGGGUAACCUACCCAUCAGAGGGGGAUAACACUUGGAAACAGGUGCUAAUACCGCAUAACAGUUUAUGCCGCAUGGCAUAAGAGUGAAAGGCGCUUUCGGGUGUCGCUGAUGGAUGGACCCGCGGUGCAUUAGCUAGUUGGUGAGGUAACGGCUCACCAAGGCCACGAUGCAUAGCCGACCUGAGAGGGUGAUCGGCCACACUGGGACUGAGACACGGCCCAGACUCCUACGGGAGGCAGCAGUAGGGAAUCUUCGGCAAUGGACGAAAGUCUGACCGAGCAACGCCGCGUGAGUGAAGAUGGUUUUCGGAUCGUAAAACUCUGUUGUUAGAGAAGAACAAGGACGUUAGUAACUGAACGUCCCCUGACGGUAUCUAACCAGAAAGCCACGGCUAACUACGUG
This 507-nucleotide ribosomal RNA is filed under the name uncultured bacterium. RNAcentral describes it as "partial 16S ribosomal RNA". It matches the Rfam family "Bacterial small subunit ribosomal RNA", at positions 29 to 507 of the family's 1533-position model. The record is from RNAcentral.